GGUCCUAGCGCACGCCGGUUUCGCGCACUGCGCUGCUCGGGGAGCAUCCAGCCCCAACCAGGAAACCGCCGGGAAGGGGACCCUGGAGCCCACCGUUCUGGGUUCCCAGGCCGCGCAGCAGCGGCCACGUACUCCUCGCCCCUUCCGCACUCCUGCUGGAUCUGGAAGGAAACAGGAUAAAUUAAUGAGAUGUCCACCAAAGGGCCUGGCAUGGACACAGCACAUGGCCACAGAGGCUGGUGGGCACUAUGGAAUCUUGUCCCCUGGAGAGGCACACAGCCAGGGCAGAACAUCAGGGUCAAGGCACUCCUGUUCUGAAGGCUCUAGUAACAACAGUGCUUAGUAACACCACCAUCAAUGACCGUCAGGUAUCAGGAAACCAUUUGGCACCUCCUCUGGAAAGAGGGCAUGGCCGGGCCCUUGAGAUCUGGCUGUUGAGGCAGAGCUAGUGCACGUGACCCACGCGGUGAG
Molecule: long non-coding RNA, 471 nt
Organism: Piliocolobus tephrosceles (Ugandan red Colobus)
Lineage: Eukaryota; Metazoa; Chordata; Mammalia; Primates; Cercopithecidae
Exons: 3
Source: RefSeq, a predicted model, not a curated record